This 73-nucleotide transfer RNA is filed under the name Mycetomoellerius zeteki. Its description in RNAcentral is "Trachymyrmex zeteki tRNA". It matches the Rfam family "tRNA". From Rfam's summary of the family: Transfer RNA (tRNA) molecules are approximately 80 nucleotides in length. Lineage: Eukaryota; Metazoa; Arthropoda; Insecta; Hymenoptera; Formicidae. The record is from Rfam by way of RNAcentral.
GCCUCGAUAGUCUAAUUGGUAAGGACGCUUACACGGAAUGUAAGAAAUCCGGGUUCGAUUCCCGGCCGAGAUA